RNAcentral lists this ribosomal RNA (389 nucleotides) under uncultured Vibrio sp. RNAcentral describes it as "bacterial SSU rRNA". It matches the Rfam family "Bacterial small subunit ribosomal RNA", at positions 60 to 437 of the family's 1533-position model. The record is from RNAcentral. Lineage: Bacteria; Pseudomonadati; Pseudomonadota; Gammaproteobacteria; Vibrionales; Vibrionaceae.
AGUCGAGCGGAACGAGCUAUCUGAACCUUCGGGGAACGAUAACGGCGUCAGCGGCGGACGGGUGAGUAAUGCCUAGGAAAUUGCCCUGAUGUGGGGGAUAACCAUUGGAAACGAUGGCUAAUACCGCAUGAUGCCUACGGGCCAAAGAGGGGGACCUUCGGGCCUCUCGCGUCAGGAUAUGCCUAGGUGGGAUUAGCUAGUUGGUGAGGUAAGGGCUCACCAAGGCGACGAUCCCUAGCUGGUCUGAGAGGAUGAUCAGCCACACUGGAACUGAGACACGGUCCAGACUCCUACGGGAGGCAGCAGUGGGGAAUAUUGCACAAUAGGCGCAAGCCUGAUGCAGCCAUGCCGCGUGUGUGAAGAAGGCCUUCGGGUUGUAAAGCACUUUC